Molecule: long non-coding RNA, 864 nt
Organism: Tympanuchus pallidicinctus (lesser prairie-chicken)
Lineage: Eukaryota; Metazoa; Chordata; Aves; Galliformes; Phasianidae
Exons: 2
Source: RefSeq, a predicted model, not a curated record
GCUGUACAGGGUCCUCUGUAGCAUGGUGCCUUAUUCCAAUGAGGUGUUUUGUCAGAAAAAGAGUAGUGGAAGCAGCCCCAGAGUCACUAUCUGUGUUGUAGAUGGUAUCUGAUCUCAAAGAGAAGAGGGAGAGAGGAAUGAAGCCCGUCAGCAUCCCUUCUUGGAAACACACCUGCCUGCAGUGAGUCUGUCCCACAGCAGGUGUGGUGCUCUGCUCCCACGACCCUGCCAGCCCAAGUUCAGACGUUCCUUCAGCUGCCACGUGUGAAGGUCCUUGUGGUUGUGAGUAGGAGUACAUGUGCUGAGCCAGAAUGUCACUACUGAAAAUACCUUCUCCUGACUACUCUAGGUACACUUGUAGAGUGAAGAGCUGCAUAAGUUCUUAGCAGAAGAAAGGAGGGGUACAGCACUGCAAUGCCAGGGAAGAAAAGCCCAUCCCCUGUCUUGUGCUGGACAGAAGGGUGAACUCAUGAUAUUGCAGGAUUCUGGAGCUGACAGCAAAUAGCAGCUCACGGACUCAAGGUGUUAAAAAGAUUACAAGACAGAACAUCUCAUACAAGACAGCUCAUCUUAUUCAAGAUUCUUGUAGGAAGAUUUUUGCACUGUGAUUACUGAACAAAUAUAUUUUUCUGCACAAAAGAACCAUUUAAGGUAUUGGACCUGAAGAUGAACUUACUGUGUUUUGACAAUGGCCCUUUACUGAAGUUUGAAUUUCCAGGGCUCCAAUUACACAUAUUUUUGUAAGCCCGUUCAUACUACACAUGAGACUGAGAGAAAGCAAAUGCUCCCUGCUGGGGUGGAAUUUUUGACUUGACUGUUCUCUUAGUGUUCAUGUGAAAGUCAGAGAAGCACUGUGGUUUUGGA